CCCGGCGACCGGCGCAUGGGUGAGUAACACGUAUGAAACCUGCCCGUAGCAGGGGGAUAAGCGGAAGAAAUUCCGUCUAAUACCGCGUAACAACCCAUGGAGGCAUCUCUGUGGGUUUAAAGGAAGCGAUUCCGGCUACGGAUGGUCAUGCGUCGCACUAGCUUGUUGGCGGGGUAACGGCCCACCAAGGCGACGAUGCGUAGGGGUUCUGAGAGGAAGGUCCCCCACACUGGUACUGAGACACGGACCAGACUCCUACGGAAGGCAGCAG
RNAcentral lists this ribosomal RNA (271 nucleotides) under uncultured bacterium. RNAcentral describes it as "partial 16S ribosomal RNA". It matches the Rfam family "Bacterial small subunit ribosomal RNA", at positions 87 to 354 of the family's 1533-position model. The record is from RNAcentral.